UGCUAUGGUUUCUCUCCAGCAAGGAUCCAUUUGUGAUAAGUUAAUUGAGCCCUGUGAUAAAAUAUUUCACUGCAGAUAUCACAGUGAUAUGGUUUCACUCUAACAUGGAUUCAGUUGUGAAUACACUGACAACCUUUUCCAGAGAAUGCCUUAUCACAGAUAUUACAGAGGUAUGGUCUCUGUCUUGAAUAAAACCAGCUUUAGCAGUCACAAGCCUAUCCAAAAAGGGUGAAAUGAGUUCGUGAGAAUGAAGAGAAGAGCAGAUGUCAAUUCAAGAUUUGCGGUUGCUUUCGGACAAUUCAUGAGGCACCCAUUUUCCAAGUUUAGGAACCUUUCCAAGUUGUUGAUGACGAUGAACAGUUGUAUGGUUUGAACUAAGUUUUAUUGCCAAGUCAUCGACUGAUAAUACAAGAUUUUCUUCAAGUAAUGCCUCAAGGAGCUUAUCAUCAAACUCAACUGGAUGUCCUGUUCGAUCUUCAUCUUCAAAGCUGAAAUCUCCACUUCUGAAUUUUGUUCUUAUGUCAUAGAGUAUUCCUGUUGGAUUUGAAACCAGAUUCUUUUUCUUUGAGAGCAAGGGUACAUUGUUAGGGCUUACGCCAAAGAAGAACGUCUUACAUUACGUUCUUCUAACACCCGGCAGCGAACCCAUUCUGUGCCAGCUGGAGACCAUUUUCUAAUGAAUCCAAAUAGCACCAUUCAUCUACAAAAAUCAUCCGACUGCUUCUGCUCCUACCGAUUGUGAUAUCUCUUCCACAACUGUUGCGUGUGUUAAUCCAGUUCAUAAAAAUUAUGAUAAGGAGAGGUGACAAAAUCCACCCCAGUAAAAAUUCAACAUCUACGUUGAAAGAUUUCGACUUGGCACCAUCUACAGCAACACAAACAUCUCGGCAUUUGUAUAGGGACGUCACGACAAUCGGAAGCCGCCCGUUAAUCCCAAACAAUGCAGCUCAACAUAUGGAAAAUAUAUUUGCAACGCAGGAGUGGAUCUGUUUGUUCAACCAAAUGUCGAAAGCAAUGGAUAUGUUUUGGUCUUUCUCGAAGAGUACCCAAUUCAGUUGGCCACACUGAUAAUGAUAAAAUAUAUAUGGAAAAUGGAGGAAUGCUGUGACGCUGAUUAUAGAAAUAAAAUAUAUG
Molecule: long non-coding RNA, 1134 nt
Organism: Octopus bimaculoides (California two-spot octopus)
Lineage: Eukaryota; Metazoa; Mollusca; Cephalopoda; Octopoda; Octopodidae
Source: RefSeq, a predicted model, not a curated record